Long non-coding RNA from Alligator mississippiensis (American alligator), 392 nucleotides. RefSeq lists it as uncharacterized. The record is from RefSeq and is a predicted model, not a curated record. NCBI's taxonomy places the organism in Eukaryota, Metazoa, Chordata, Crocodylia, Alligatoridae. The transcript has 3 exons.
GGAAGAAACUGGAAGAACCAGAAAAUCCUGAGAACAGCUAGAUGCUAGUCUGUCAGGAACAGAUGUACAGGUAUAGAAGUUCCCAGGUAAAAUACACACACCCACCCCUUCCUCAAGGCAAGUAGCUAACAAUAGAAGAAAAGAAGGAACACCACACAUGUUAUAAAUUGCUCCAUGCUGGUCUGACCUACCUGGAAAGUACUUAGGUCGGCGGUUCUCAACUGGGAUGCUUCAGCAGGGGUGCCACCAGCACCGCAACCAGGAAGUUAAGCUGGUUGAAUAACUGGCAAACUAAAGCUGCUAGAAUAUGAAGUUACUGAGAUCUUGAAAAUGGGCAAAAUCACCAACAACUGCACUGAUAGUAAAGGCAAGAAGGUGGCCUUACCUUGAUC